Molecule: unclassified non-coding RNA, 254 nt
Filed under: uncultured Alphaproteobacteria bacterium
Lineage: Bacteria; Pseudomonadati; Pseudomonadota; Alphaproteobacteria
Description: contains 16S-23S intergenic spacer region
Rfam family: Bacterial small subunit ribosomal RNA
Source: RNAcentral
UACGUAGGGGGCAAGUGUUCUUCGGAAUGACUGGGCGUAAAGCGCACGUAGGCGGUGUAUCAAGUCAGAGGUGAAAGGCCUGGGCUCAACCUGGGAACUGACUUUGAGACUGGUACGCUUGAGUCCGGGAGAGGGUAGUGGAAUUCCCAGUGUAGAGGUGAAAUUCGUAGAUAUUGGGAAGAACACCGGUGGCGAAGGCGGCUACCUGGCCCGGUUACUGACGCUGAGGUGCGAAAGCGUGGGGAGCGAACAGG